This 505-nucleotide ribosomal RNA is filed under the name Octonoba varians. Its description in RNAcentral is "partial 16S ribosomal RNA". It matches the Rfam family "Bacterial large subunit ribosomal RNA", at positions 1845 to 2605 of the family's 2925-position model. Lineage: Eukaryota; Metazoa; Arthropoda; Arachnida; Araneae; Uloboridae. The record is from RNAcentral.
AUAUAAAAUCGAGCCUGCUCAAUGAUAAUAUUAAAUAGCCGCGGUAUAUUGACCGUGCGAAGGUAGCAUAAUCAUUUGUUUUUUAAUUGGGGACUGGAAUGAAAGGUUUGACGAAAGAAAAGCUGUCUUUUGAUAAUAGAAUUGAAAUUUUUGUUUAUGUGAAAAAACAUAAAUUUAGCUAAAAGAAGAGAAGACCCUAUUAAGUUUUAUAGUAAAAUUUAUGUAUGAGGAUGUAAAUAGAUUGAUAUAGUGGUUUUAUUAUUUUACUGGGGCGGUAAUGAAAGAAUAAAAUCUUUUAAAGGUAAAAAAGGAAGUUAUUUUAAUGGAGAGGAUCCAUAAGGAGAAUGAUAGUUAGAUUAAAUUACUAUAGGGAUAACAACGUGAAAUGUUUGGAGAGUUCAUAUUGAUAAAUAGUUUUGCGACCUCGAUGAUGAAUUAGGUAGUCUUUUUGGUGUAGAAGCUAAAUAGAGAGAGUCUGUUCGACUUUUUAAAAACUUACGUGAUC